AAACCAGCACCUCAAGUGGUCAGGAUGAUUAUUGGGCCUAAAGCAUCCGUAGCCUGCUCUGUAAGUUUUCGGUUAAAUCUGUAUGCUCAACAUACAGGCUGCCGGGAAUACUGCAAAGCUAGGGAGUGGGAGAGGUAGACGGUACUCGGGAGGAAGUGGUAAAAUGCUUUGAUCUCUCGAUGACCACCUGUGGCGAAGGCGGUCUACCAGAACACGUCCGACGGUGAGGGAUGAAAGCUGGGGGAGCAAACCGGAUUAGAAACCCCAGUAGUCC
RNAcentral lists this ribosomal RNA (274 nucleotides) under uncultured bacterium. Its description in RNAcentral is "partial 16S ribosomal RNA". It matches the Rfam family "Archaeal small subunit ribosomal RNA", at positions 473 to 747 of the family's 1478-position model. The record is from RNAcentral.